CCUACGGGAGGCAGCAGUAGGGAAUAUUGCUCAAUGGGGGAAACCCUGAAGCAGCAACGCCGCGUGGAGGAUGAAGGUUUUCGGAUUGUAAACUCCUUUUGUUAGAGAAGAUAAUGACGGUAUCUAACGAAUAAGCACCGGCUAACUCCGUGCCAGCAGCCGCGGUAAUACGGAGGGUGCAAGCGUUACUCGGAAUCACUGGGCGUAAAGAGCGCGUAGGCGGGAUAGAAAGUCAGAUGUGAAAUCCUAUGGCUUAACCAUAGAACUGCAUUUGAAACUGUUAUUCUGGAGUAUGGGGGGGUAAGGGGGAUUUCUUGGUGUGGGGGUAAACUC
RNAcentral lists this ribosomal RNA (333 nucleotides) under uncultured bacterium. RNAcentral's name for it is "partial 16S ribosomal RNA". It matches the Rfam family "Bacterial small subunit ribosomal RNA", at positions 338 to 688 of the family's 1533-position model. The record is from RNAcentral.